Molecule: ribosomal RNA, 1429 nt
Filed under: uncultured bacterium
Lineage: Bacteria
Description: bacterial SSU rRNA
Rfam family: Bacterial small subunit ribosomal RNA
Source: RNAcentral
UUAGAGUUUGAUCCUGGCUCAGGACGAACGCUGGCGGCGUGCCUAAUACAUGCAAGUCGAGCGAGCUUGCCUAGAUGAUUUUAGUGCUUGCACUAAAUGAAACUAGAUACAAGCGAGCGGCGGACGGGUGAGUAACACGUGGGUAACCUGCCCAAGAGACUGGGAUAACACCUGGAAACAGAUGCUAAUACCGGAUAACAACACUAGACGCAUGUCUAGAGUUUGAAAGAUGGUUCUGCUAUCACUCUUGGAUGGACCUGCGGUGCAUUAGCUAGUUGGUAAGGUAACGGCUUACCAAGGCAAUGAUGCAUAGCCGAGUUGAGAGACUGAUCGGCCACAUUGGGACUGAGACACGGCCCAAACUCCUACGGGAGGCAGCAGUAGGGAAUCUUCCACAAUGGACGAAAGUCUGAUGGAGCAACGCCGCGUGAGUGAAGAAGGGUUUCGGCUCGUAAAGCUCUGUUGGUAGUGAAGAAAGAUAGAGGUAGUAACUGGCCUUUAUUUGACGGUAAUUACUUAGAAAGUCACGGCUAACUACGUGCCAGCAGCCGCGGUAAUACGUAGGUGGCAAGCGUUGUCCGGAUUUAUUGGGCGUAAAGCGAGUGCAGGCGGUUCAAUAAGUCUGAUGUGAAAGCCUUCGGCUCAACCGGAGAAUUGCAUCAGAAACUGUUGAACUUGAGUGCAGAAGAGGAGAGUGGAACUCCAUGUGUAGCGGUGGAAUGCGUAGAUAUAUGGAAGAACACCAGUGGCGAAGGCGGCUCUCUGGUCUGCAACUGACGCUGAGGCUCGAAAGCAUGGGUAGCGAACAGGAUUAGAUACCCUGGUAGUCCACACAGUAAACGAUGAAUACUCGCUGUUUGCGAUAUACGGCAAGCGGCCAAGCGAAAGCAUUAAGUAUUCCACCUGGGGAGUACGCCGGCAACGGUGAAACUCAAAGGAAUUGACGGGGGCCCGCACAAGCGGAGGAACAUGUGGUUUAAUUCGAUGAUACGCGAGGAACCUUACCCGGGCUCAAACGCGGCGUGAAUACUUUUGAAAGGAGGUAGUCAGCAAUGACACGCCGCGAGGUGCUGCAUGGUUGUCGUCAGCUCGUGCCGUGAGGUGUCGGCUUAAGUGCCAUAACGAGCGCAACCCCUACCGUCAGUUGCCAACAGGUAAAGCUGGGGACUCUGACGGGACUGCCGGCGCAAGCUGUGAGGAAGGCGGGGAUGACGUCAAAUCAGCACGGCCCUUACGUCCGGGGCGACACACGUGUUACAAUGGCAGGUACAGCGGGAAGCCACCUGGCGACAGGGCGCGGAACCCGAAAACCUGUCUCAGUUCGGAUUGGAGUCUGCAACCCGACUCCAUGAAGCUGGAUUCGCUAGUAAUCGCGCAUCAGCCACGGCGCGGUGAAUACGUUCCCGGGCCUUGCACACACCGCCCGUCA